GAUGAACGCUGGCGGCGUGCCUAAUACAUGCAAGUCGAACGCUGGAACUCUAGCUUGCUAGCUUGAAGGAGUGGCGAACGGGUGAGUAAUACAUAAGCAACCUACCCACGAAGACUGGGAUAAUCUCUGGAAACGGGGACUAAUACCGGAUAGGUAAUCGGAAGGCAUCUUCUGAUUAUUAAAGGUUAAAAACACUGGUGGAUGGGCUUAUGGCGCAUUAGUUAGUUGGUGAGGUAACGGCCCACCAAGACGAUGAUGCGUAGCCGGCCUGAGAGGGUGAACGGCCUCAUUGGGACUGAGACACGGCCCAGACUCCUACGGGAGGCAGCAGUAGGGAAGUUUCGGCAAUGGGGGAAACCCUGACCGAGCAACGCCGCGUGAGUGAUGACGGCCUUCGGGUUGUAAAGCUCUGUUGUAAGGGAAGAACGGUAGAUAGAGAAUAUCUAAAUGACGGUACCUUACCAGAAAGCCACGGCUAACUACGUG
Molecule: ribosomal RNA, 486 nt
Filed under: uncultured bacterium
Lineage: Bacteria
Description: partial 16S ribosomal RNA
Rfam family: Bacterial small subunit ribosomal RNA
Source: RNAcentral